Molecule: ribosomal RNA, 451 nt
Filed under: uncultured bacterium
Lineage: Bacteria
Description: partial 16S ribosomal RNA
Rfam family: Bacterial small subunit ribosomal RNA
Source: RNAcentral
GAUGAACGCUGGCGGUAUGCCUAACACAUGCAAGUCGAACGAGCUCUUCGGAGCUAGUGGCGGACGGGUGAGUAACGCGUGAGAAUCUGCCUUCAGGAUGGGGACAACAGUUGGAAACGAUUGCUAAAACCCAAUGUGCCGCAAGGUGAAAUAUUAAUAGCCUGAAGAGGAGCUCGCGUCCGAUUAGUUAGUUGGUGGGGUAAAGGCCUACCAAGGCAGCGAUCGGUAGCUGGUCUGAGAGGAUGAGCAGCCACACUGGGACUGGGGCACGGGCCAGACUCCUACGGGAGGCAGCAGUGGGGAAUUUUCCGCAAUGGGCGAAAGCCUGACGGAGCAAUACCGCGUGAGGGAGGAAGGUUUUUGGAUUGUAAACCUCUUUUGUUAAGGAAGAAGAAAGUGACGGUACUUAACGAAUAAGCAUCGGCUAACUCCGUGCCAGCAGCCGCCGUAA